UGGUGGAGUGAUUUGUCUGGUUAAUUCCGUUAACGAACGAGACCUCGACCUGCUAAAUAGUACUGGUUAUUCAUUGGAUAAUCCAGGCACUUCUUAGAGGGACUAUCGGCGGUGUACCCGAUGGAAGUUCGAGGCAAUAACA
RNAcentral lists this ribosomal RNA (142 nucleotides) under uncultured eukaryote. RNAcentral describes it as "partial 18S ribosomal RNA". It matches the Rfam family "Eukaryotic small subunit ribosomal RNA", at positions 1299 to 1458 of the family's 1831-position model. The record is from RNAcentral.